RNAcentral lists this ribosomal RNA (468 nucleotides) under uncultured bacterium. RNAcentral's name for it is "partial 16S ribosomal RNA". It matches the Rfam family "Bacterial small subunit ribosomal RNA", at positions 28 to 507 of the family's 1533-position model. The record is from RNAcentral.
GACGAACGCUGGCGGCGUGCUUAACACAUGCAAGUCGAACGGAAAGGCCCUGCUUUUGUGGGGUGCUCGAGUGGCGAACGGGUGAGUAACACGUGAGUAACCUGCCCUUGACUUUGGGAUAACUUCAGGAAACUGGGGCUAAUACCGGAUAUGAGCUCCUGCUGCAUGGUGGGGGUUGGAAAGUUUCGGCGGUUGGGGAUGGACUCGCGGCUUAUCAGCUUGUUGGUGGGGUAGUGGCUUACCAAGGCUUUGACGGGUAGCCGGCCUGAGAGGGUGACCGGCCACAUUGGGACUGAGAUACGGCCCAGACUGCUACGGGAGGCAGCAGUGGGGAAUAUUGCACAAUGGGCGGAAGCCUGAUGCAGCAACGCCGCGUGCGGGAUGACGGCCUUCGGGUUGUAAACCGCUUUCGCCUGUGACGAAGCGUGAGUGACGGUAAUGGGUAAAGAAGCACCGGCUAACUACGUG